UGGGGAAUUUUGCACAAUGGGGGAAACCCUGAUGCAGCGACGCCGCGUGAUUUAGAAGGCCUUCGGGUUGUAAAAAUCUUUUCUAUGGGAAGAAAAUGACAGUACCAUAGGAAUAAGGACCGGCUAAUUACGUGCCAGCAGCCGCGGUAAUACGUAAGGUCCGAGCGUUGUCCGGAAUCAUUGGGCGUAAAGGGUACGUAGGCGGGUAAGCAAGUUAGAAGUGAAAUCCUAUAGCUCAACUAUAGUAAGCUUUUAAAACUGCUCAUCUUGAGGUAUGGAAGGGAAAGUGAAAGUCCUAGUGUAGCGGUGAAAUGCGCAGAUAUUAGGAGGAAUACCGGUGGCGAAGGCGAAUUUCUGGCCAUAACCUGACGCUGAGGUACGAAAGCGUGGGUAGCAAACAGG
Molecule: ribosomal RNA, 402 nt
Filed under: bacterium
Lineage: Bacteria
Description: partial 16S ribosomal RNA
Rfam family: Bacterial small subunit ribosomal RNA
Source: RNAcentral